RNAcentral lists this ribosomal RNA (240 nucleotides) under Staphylococcus aureus. RNAcentral's name for it is "partial 23S ribosomal RNA". It matches the Rfam family "Bacterial large subunit ribosomal RNA", at positions 2685 to 2925 of the family's 2925-position model. Lineage: Bacteria; Bacillati; Bacillota; Bacilli; Caryophanales; Staphylococcaceae. The record is from RNAcentral.
GAGAGGACCGGGAUGGACAUACCUCUGGUGUACCAGUUGUCGUGCCAACGGCAUAGCUGGGUAGCUAUGUGUGGACGGGAUAAGUGCUGAAAGCAUCUAAGCAUGAAGCCCCCCUCAAGAUGAGAUUUCCCAACUUCGGUUAUAAGAUCCCUCAAAGAUGAUGAGGUUAAUAGGUUCGAGGUGGAAGCAUGGUGACAUGUGGAGCUGACGAAUACUAAUCGAUCGAAGACUUAAUCAAAA